This 396-nucleotide ribosomal RNA is filed under the name uncultured bacterium. RNAcentral's name for it is "partial 16S ribosomal RNA". It matches the Rfam family "Bacterial small subunit ribosomal RNA", at positions 523 to 918 of the family's 1533-position model. The record is from RNAcentral.
AUACGUAGGGGGCGAGCGUUGUCCGGAAUGAUUGGGUGUAAAGGGAGCGUAGACGGCAAAGCAAGUCUGAAGUGAAAGCCCCGGGCUCAACCCGGGAAUUGCUUUGGAAACUGUUUAGCUGGAGUGCAGGAGAGGUAAGCGGAAUUCCUAGUGUAGCGGUGAAAUGCGUAGAUAUUAGGAGGAACACCGGCGGCGAAGGCGGCUUACUGGACUGUAACUGACGUUGAGGCUCGAAAGCGUGGGGAGCAAACAGGAUUAGAUACCCUGGUAGUCCACGCCGUAAACGAUGAUUACUAGGUGUUGGUUGUCAUAGACAAUCGGUGCCGCAGCAAACGCAAUAAGUAAUCCACCUGGGGAGUACGUUCGCAAGAAUGAAACUCAAAGGAAUUGACGGGG